CCCGCUGAACUUAAGCAUAUCAAUAAGCGGAGGAAAAGAAACUAACAAGGAUUCCCCUAGUAACUGCGAGUGAAGCGGGAAAAGCUCAAAUUUAAAAUCUGGCAGCCAUUUUACGGUUGUCCGAGUUGUAAUCUAGAGAAGUGCUUUCCGCGCUGGACCGUGUACAAGUCUCUUGGAAUAGAGCAUCAUAGAGGGUGAGAAUCCCGUCUUUGACACGGACUACUAGUGCUUUAUGUGAUGCGCUCUCAAAGAGUCGAGUUGUUUGGGAAUGCAGCUCAAAAUGGGUGGUAAAUUCCAUCUAAAGCUAAAUAUUGGCGAGAGACCGAUAGCGAACAAGUACCGUGAGGGAAAGAUGAAAAGAACUUUGGAAAGAGAGUUAAACAGUACGUGAAAUUGUUGAAAGGGAAACGCUUGAAGUCAGUCACGUUGGCCAGAAAUCAACUUGUAACAGGGCGUAAUUUCUGGUUUUACGGGUCAACAUCAAUUUUGAUUGUUGGAUAAAAGUCAAUAUUUAUGUGUUUUCGGACGUGUAGCCUUUGAUUGCAUACAAUGGUUGGGAUUGAGGAACUCAGCUCGCCGCAAGGCCGGGUAACUUGUUACCACGUAACGUGCUUAGGAUGUUGGCAUAAUGGCUUUAAUCGACCCGUCUUGAAACACGG
Molecule: ribosomal RNA, 659 nt
Filed under: uncultured fungus
Lineage: Eukaryota; Fungi
Description: eukaryotic LSU rRNA
Rfam family: Eukaryotic large subunit ribosomal RNA
Source: RNAcentral